GCCUGGGUGGCUCAGUUGGUUGAGUGUCUGACUUCAGCUCAGGUCAUGAUCUCAUGGUUCAUGGGUUCAAGCCCCACUCUGGGCU
Molecule: transfer RNA, 85 nt
Filed under: Felis catus (domestic cat)
Lineage: Eukaryota; Metazoa; Chordata; Mammalia; Carnivora; Felidae
Rfam family: tRNA
About the family: Transfer RNA (tRNA) molecules are approximately 80 nucleotides in length. Their secondary structure includes four short double-helical elements and three loops (D, anti-codon, and T loops).
Source: Rfam by way of RNAcentral